This 57-nucleotide transfer RNA is filed under the name Neotoma lepida (desert woodrat). It matches the Rfam family "tRNA", at positions 9 to 63 of the family's 71-position model. Rfam says of the family: Transfer RNA (tRNA) molecules are approximately 80 nucleotides in length. Their secondary structure includes four short double-helical elements and three loops (D, anti-codon, and T loops). Lineage: Eukaryota; Metazoa; Chordata; Mammalia; Rodentia; Cricetidae. The record is from Rfam by way of RNAcentral.
GGCUUAGUGGGGAAAGCACUUGCCUUGUAAGCAGGAAGGCUUGAGUUAAAUCCUCAG